RNAcentral lists this small RNA (127 nucleotides) under Arabidopsis thaliana (thale cress). RNAcentral's name for it is "ATSL071830". Lineage: Eukaryota; Viridiplantae; Streptophyta; Magnoliopsida; Brassicales; Brassicaceae. The record is from RNAcentral.
AUCAUAUUUAUUCAACGUUCAAACAAAUCACCGUUCAAUUGUUUAUGCAUAACCCGAUCAUGAACUCGACCUCGAGAGGCCACAAUAUUAUCAAAAUUUGAAAGUAUAUAUGUACAGUUGAAAUCUU